RNAcentral lists this ribosomal RNA (468 nucleotides) under uncultured bacterium. Its description in RNAcentral is "partial 16S ribosomal RNA". It matches the Rfam family "Bacterial small subunit ribosomal RNA", at positions 28 to 507 of the family's 1533-position model. The record is from RNAcentral.
GACGAACGCUGGCGGCGUGCUUAACACAUGCAAGUCGAACGGAAAGGCCCUGCUUUUGUGGGGUGCUCGAGUGGCGAACGGGUGAGUAACACGUGAGUAACCUGCCCUUGACUUUGGGAUAACUUCAGGAAACUGGGGCUAAUACCGGAUAGGAGCUCCUGCUGCAUGGUGGGGGUUGGAAAGUUUCGGCGGUUGGGGAUGGACUCGCGGCUUAUCAGCUUGUUGGUGGGGUAGUGGCUUACCAAGGCUUUGACGGGUAGCCGGCCUGAGAGGGUGACCGGCCACAUUGGGACUGAGAUACGGCCCAGACUCCUACGGGAGGCAGCAGUGGGGAAUAUUGCACAAUGGGCGGAAGCGUGAUGCAGAAACGCCGCGUGCGGGAUGACGGCCUUCGGGUUGUAAACAGCUUUCGACUGUGACGAAGCGUGAGUGACGGUAAUGGGUAAAGAAGCACCGGCUAACUACGUG